This is a non-coding RNA of Chrysemys picta bellii (western painted turtle), 797 nucleotides long. NCBI's taxonomy places the organism in Eukaryota, Metazoa, Chordata, Testudines, Emydidae. The record is from RefSeq and is a predicted model, not a curated record.
UGUUUAGGGACAGAGGCAGCAUCUUAACCUGCCGCGUCAGCCACGCGUCUCUGGUUCAACCCCUGCAGGAGGCGUUCGCCCUGGCUGUCACAUGGUCAACAGGUGACACAGUCGCAGUUGUCUCAUGGAUCCUCGUCCUCCUUGUGAUUUUCCUAGUUGCGUGUGCACGCCGGGUCUGUCAACGAAGAUCCACCCGACAGUUGUGACAUUCCCCUCUGUUGCUAUCUGAAUCAGUGAUCUGCGAGGUCACUCCAACGCUUGACUCUGGGAGCCAGGCUCACCCUGCUCUGCUGUGAGACUCCCCACCCCUGGGCUGGUCACACACAGCCUCUGGCGUGUCAGCUGCUCCUUGGAUUGUGCAACCGAAUGACACCAGCCGAUAUCUCCGGGCCCAGACCCAGCCCUGGGAAGCUAGGCCCGCUGGACGCUGCAAGCUGUAGCAAAGUCCCGAGUCUGGGUCAGUGGGUCCUGCGCUUCUGGGCGCAUUCAGUGGCCUCAGAAACUCGAUAAGGCCCCAACGUGACCUCCCUUUCGCAGUGUAGCGGCAUGAGUCACAGCCUAUGGAGUUACUUCCAUCACCGGGCAGUACGGGAGAUGGGACGGGGGAAUACCCCACAGUCUCUGGUACUCCACAGAGCUCAGUGGGCGCAGUUCGGCCUCCCCCUGGACCCAGUCCUGCUUCCCCUCUCAAGGGGAUCUCUGUAGAGUAUGGGGAGGUGCGGGGGGGUUGGUCUGUGCUCACAUUGCUAAGCAAUUGGUUGGUAUAUUAUUCUCUAGCCUCCCCAGGAAAGGGGGUG